RNAcentral lists this ribosomal RNA (499 nucleotides) under Nocardiaceae bacterium C57. RNAcentral's name for it is "bacterial SSU rRNA". It matches the Rfam family "Bacterial small subunit ribosomal RNA", at positions 1 to 522 of the family's 1533-position model. The record is from RNAcentral. Lineage: Bacteria; Bacillati; Actinomycetota; Actinomycetes; Mycobacteriales; Nocardiaceae.
UGGAGAGUUUGAUCCUGGCUCAGGACGAACGCUGGCGGCGUGCUUAACACAUGCAAGUCGAGCGGUAAGGCCUUUCGGGGUACACGAGCGGCGAACGGGUGAGUAACACGUGGGUGAUCUGCCCUGCACUCUGGGAUAAGCUUGGGAAACUGGGUCUAAUACCGGAUAUGACYRCAUSMYGCAUGKKKUGUGGUGGAAAGAUUUAUCGGUGCAGGAUGGGCCCGCGGCCUAUCAGCUUGUUGGUGGGGUAAUGGCCUACCAAGGCGACGACGGGUAGCCGACCUGAGAGGGUGACCGGCCACACUGGGACUGAGACACGGCCCAGACUCCUACGGGAGGCAGCAGUGGGGAAUAUUGCACAAUGGGCGGAAGCCUGAUGCAGCGACGCCGCGUGAGGGAUGAAGGCCUUCGGGUUGUAAACCUCUUUCAGCAGGGACGAAGCGUGAGUGACGGUACCUGCAGAAGAGCACCGGCUAACUACGUGCCAGCAGCCGCGGUA